RNAcentral lists this long non-coding RNA (158 nucleotides) under Felis catus (domestic cat). Its description in RNAcentral is "lncRNA (ENSFCAG00000052461.1)". Lineage: Eukaryota; Metazoa; Chordata; Mammalia; Carnivora; Felidae. The record is from RNAcentral.
UGUCCUGUUUCUUCUCUGACCACUUUAGAGGUGGGAGAGCUGAGGCCCAAGAUCUGUUCCAUGGCUGGUGAGGAAACCAAGCCACAGAGAAGUGGAACCGUAAACAGUGCCAGGACAGACAGGCUCGUUUCAUUCAGCAUUGACUUUCACAAACAAGG